UACGUAGGGUGCAAGCGUUGCCCGGAUUUAUUGGGCGUAAAGGGCGCGUAGGCGGCUCUGCACGUCCGUUGUGAAAUCGCCCGGCUCAACUGGGCGGGGUCAGCGGAUACGGCAGAGCUUGAGCAAGCUAGGGGGCAAUGGAAUUCCCGGUGUAGUGGUGGAAUGCGUAGAUAUCGGGAGGAACACCAGUGGCGAAGGCGGUUGCCUGGGGCUUUGCUGACGCUGAUGCGCGAAAGCGUGGGGAGCGAACAGG
RNAcentral lists this ribosomal RNA (253 nucleotides) under uncultured bacterium. RNAcentral's name for it is "partial 16S ribosomal RNA". It matches the Rfam family "Bacterial small subunit ribosomal RNA", at positions 524 to 776 of the family's 1533-position model. The record is from RNAcentral.